Molecule: long non-coding RNA, 205 nt
Filed under: Elaeis guineensis (African oil palm)
Lineage: Eukaryota; Viridiplantae; Streptophyta; Magnoliopsida; Arecales; Arecaceae
Description: long non-coding RNA (EGUI_LNC023830)
Source: RNAcentral
AUCAGGAGGACUCGAUCUUACCGAAAUUCUAAUUCUCUUGCAGAGAUCGCUUCUUGGAUUGUCAAAUCGAUUUGAUCUUUUAAUUUUCUUCUCAAGAGAACCAAUCAGAUCUACAGGAGGAUGAUAAAAUCAGAUUACAUCUUUUUUUUUUUUUCAUUUUUUUCUUCUUAAGAAAAAUCGAAGAUCUACUGAAGAAGACAACAUA